UUGUAUCCCUGCUUGACCCUAUGGUGUACUACUUUGUGAGACGGAUGGUCACCAUCGGCAAUCUGCUGUCCCACCGUUUCUACUGUACGCUGAAUAAAAUGUAAACCACUGACGAUGGUAUCCAGGUCGAUAUGCGGCUUCUCAAGCACAAAGCGAGCCGUGCCACCCCAUCUCCUGUAUCUCUCCUUGACAACGUCCAACGUUAGCAUCUUUCGUGCCUCAAGCAAUUCCUCCUCGCCCUU
This 242-nucleotide long non-coding RNA is filed under the name Selaginella moellendorffii. RNAcentral's name for it is "long non-coding RNA (SMOE_LNC000354)". The record is from RNAcentral. Lineage: Eukaryota; Viridiplantae; Streptophyta; Lycopodiopsida; Selaginellales; Selaginellaceae.